ACUGAGCGGCGGACGGGUGAGUAACGCGUGGGUAACCUGCCUCAUACAGGGGGGUAACAGUUGGAAACGGCUGCUAAUACCGCAUAAGCGCACAGUACCGCAUGGUACGGUGUGAAAAACUCCGGUGGUAUGAGAUGGACCCGCGUCUGAUUAGGUAGUUGGUGGGGUAACGGCCUACCAAGCCGACGAUCAGUAGCCGACCUGAGAGGGUGACCGGCCACAUUGGGACUGAGACACGGCCCAA
This 244-nucleotide ribosomal RNA is filed under the name uncultured bacterium. Its description in RNAcentral is "partial 16S ribosomal RNA". It matches the Rfam family "Bacterial small subunit ribosomal RNA", at positions 90 to 334 of the family's 1533-position model. The record is from RNAcentral.